This 276-nucleotide ribosomal RNA is filed under the name uncultured bacterium. RNAcentral's name for it is "partial 16S ribosomal RNA". It matches the Rfam family "Bacterial small subunit ribosomal RNA", at positions 79 to 353 of the family's 1533-position model. The record is from RNAcentral.
AUUUAGCUGGUUUCUAGUGGCGGACGGGUGAGUAACGCGUGGGUAACCUGCCUUAUACAGGGGGAUAACAACCAGAAAUGGUUGCUAAUACCGCAUAAGCGCACAGGACCGCAUGGUCCGGUGUGAAAAACUCCGGUGGUAUAAGAUGGACCCGCGUUGGAUUAGCUAGUUGGCGGGGUAACGGCCCACCAAAGCGACGAUCGGUAGCCGGACUGAGAGGUUGAACGGCCACAUUGGGACUGAGACACGGCCCAGACUCCUACGGGAGGCAGCAUG